CGCUCGCCUUUACUUUUCAAGCUUCGCCUCAAAAAUUUGCAAAUUAAAUAUUUUUUUAUUAAAAUUUCAAAUCGCUCGCUCGCCCCAAAUUUUGGAGUCCAAAAAUCCGUAGAACAAGAAAUUAAAUUGGUGUGGCCUUAUCUGUUUAUUGAAAUAUAACAUAUGGUUCAUGAUAUGUUUACAACCACAUCUGUCUGUUUCAAAAACUAACCACCAAAUGCAGUUCUGAUUUUCUUUAUAUCUCCUAAUGGAAGGUCAUUAAUUAUCUCACUUGUAUCAUUCCAUACCCAAUCAUAAUUUUUUUCAUAUAUGUUCAAUAUAAGAAGAGUGCCACCGUUACCAAUUUUACAAUUUUCAAACUUGUCAUCCAAGUACAUAUUCAGAUCCAAAUCAUUUAUUUUCUUUAAAGCCUCAGGUUCUGACAGCUUUUUCUUUUUGAUGAUUCUUAUCAGUUCUGUUCGCAUCUUGUAGAGAAUCAUUUUCCCGUCUUCAUACUUCCGGAAUUUCUUAGCAUAAUGAUGCAUAGCUUUAUCAGCAGUCGGAAACUGUCGAACGUCAGCGGAAGACGAUUCAGAGGACUGUGCCGAACCC
Molecule: long non-coding RNA, 591 nt
Filed under: Mytilus galloprovincialis (Mediterranean mussel)
Lineage: Eukaryota; Metazoa; Mollusca; Bivalvia; Mytilida; Mytilidae
Source: RNAcentral